AGUCUUCUCUGCAGACACCAGCCUGGUGUCCUCCUUCAUCCCAGGCUGCCAGGCUAGGCAGGGGGCAGCGGCUGCCCUGGUCCUCACAGCCCUGGCUGCGGGGCCGGUGACAGCCAGAUCCUCAUGCUUCUGCGACCACAGCGCUGCCUUCAGACACCUCUCUGCUGGCAUAUUCCUGGGUCCAUGAUGGAAGAAGGAAAAGUAUUUUUAAAAGGCAAUCUAAAGCUCAUACUGUGACUGCAACAUAAAAUGUGUUCACCUUAGGAGACUGCUUUCACCGCAAGUGGGUCACCGAUGGUGGAAACCUCAGAAGGCCACAGUCCAUAGUAGGGGCUCAAUGCAAGCUGCUGGAACUGAAUGAAGGUCUCUGAUGGUUCUGGUUUCCUGGGCACCCAGAAUAUGUGUGUCACCAUUUGUCCUGAAGCUGACAUCUCUGAGCUGGAUGGCACCCUGGACAUCAACCGGCCCUUCACCUUCACAUCACACAGGAGGGACACUGGUCCAUAGACAGGAUGCCUGCUCUGGUCACCAGCUGGAGGGUGGCAGAACUUGGGUACCUGAGCUUUGGACUCUGCCACGCAGAGCACUUCCUCAGUCCCUCCUGCUGCCCCUGGCAGGGUGGAGCUGGCAGGGCAGCUGAUCCAGGACCGUCCACUUCCCAGCCAGCAGGAGGAUGGAAAAGCGGAAUGGAGGGGGAGACAACCUCCUUUGCAGGGCGUGACUGGGAAGUUGGACAUAUCAUUUCCAGCCGCUUUCCAUGGACCAGA
This 767-nucleotide long non-coding RNA is filed under the name Pongo abelii (Sumatran orangutan). RNAcentral describes it as "lincRNA". Lineage: Eukaryota; Metazoa; Chordata; Mammalia; Primates; Hominidae. The record is from RNAcentral.